This 694-nucleotide ribosomal RNA is filed under the name uncultured bacterium. RNAcentral's name for it is "bacterial SSU rRNA". It matches the Rfam family "Bacterial small subunit ribosomal RNA", at positions 32 to 715 of the family's 1533-position model. The record is from RNAcentral.
AACGCUAGCUACAGGCUUAACACAUGCAAGUUGAGGGGCAGCAUGGUCUUAGCUUGCUAAGGCCGAUGGCGACCGGCGCACGGGUGAGUAACACGUAUCCAACCUGCCGUCUACUCUUGGACAGCCUUCUGAAAGGAAGAUUAAUACAAGAUGGCAUCAUGAGUCCGCAUGUUCACGUGAUUAAAGGUAUUCCGGUAGACGAUGGGGAUGCGUUCCAUUAGAUAGUAGGCGGGGUAACGGCCCACCUAGUCUUCGAUGGAUAGGGGUUCUGAAAGGAAGGUCCCCCACAUUGGAACUGAGACACGGUCCAAACUCCUACGGGAGGCAGCAGUGAGGAAUAUUGGUCAAUGGGCGAGAGCCUGAACCAGCCAAGUAGCGUGAAGGAUGACUGCCCUAUGGGUUGUAAACUUCUUUUAUAAAGGAAUAAAGUCGGGUAUGUAUACCCGUUUGCAUGUACUUUAUGAAUAAGGAUCGGCUAACUCCGUGCCAGCAGCCGCGGUAAUACGGAGGAUCCGAGCGUUAUCCGGAUUUAUUGGGUUUAAAGGGAGCGUAGAUGGAUGUUUAAGUCAGUUGUGAAAGUUUGCGGCUCAACCGUAAAGUUGCAGUUGAUACUGGAUAUCUUGAGUGCAGUUGAGGCAGGCGGAAUUCGUGGUGUAGCGGUGAAAUGCUUAGAUAUCACGAAGAACUCCGAUUG